Patella vulgata (common limpet) is the source of this 2232-nucleotide long non-coding RNA. RefSeq lists it as uncharacterized. The transcript has 5 exons. NCBI's taxonomy places the organism in Eukaryota, Metazoa, Mollusca, Gastropoda, Patellidae. The record is from RefSeq and is a predicted model, not a curated record.
UUCUUAAAAGACGUAAAAGAUAUCGUAGACAAAAUGACUGUCCAUUGAUUUAUGGUGUUAUUUACUCUUACGAUAUGUGACAUCUAUGAUUAGUUUAUUAUAGAUGAUGUCGGCUCACAUCAAUGCGAUUAAGAUGCCCGACAAAUGAGGUGGAUUAAAAUUAUAAUCAUUCUUAUUGAAUUGAUGAAUAGUCCGACAAAAGGAAAGGAAUGACUUCUGUUUAAGAUUAGAUUGAUGAAUUGUCCGACAAAGGAUUAAGUCAGUCAAUCAAGGCAGAUUAAGUAGUUAAAUCAAGGAAUGUUUCAAUUAAAUCAGCUCAUCCUAAUCCUCAUAGCAGUUUUUCCCAUAUCAGUUUCUGGAUAUUCCCAAUCUAAGGCUGGAACUUACCAGACGAAGGAUGGGAAGGAUUGUCUUCUGUGUCCUCCAGGCUUCCACAUGAAUGAACCCUGUGUCACUUCGGGUGAGGAGUCCUCGUGUGAACAGUGUCCCAUUGGGCAUUACAUCACAGAUUAUAACAAUUCCUCGAAAUGCCAGGCGUGUAUCACUUGCCAAGUGGGUCAAAUUGAGAAGGAAAAAUGCAAACCUACAAAGGAUACAGUGUGCGAGUGUCCAUUAGGAGAGUGGUGGAAACUUUUAUCUGGUGAUCAGGGAAAGUGUGCAGCACAUUCCCUGUGUAAAGAUGGGGAAACGGUUUUGAAUAAAGGUACACCAUUUGCUGACACCGUGUGUCAGUCAACACAAAAAUGUCCUAAGGGAGGUGGAACAACGAUCUCUUUUAACGCGAUACUGUUGACAACUGUUAUUUUUUACCUUUCUACCCAUAACCGACUACAUACUGGAUAAUGAUCCAAUUUAAACUUCACUUUAAAUUUUCUGUAGUUACCUAACCCUGUCUGAAUUACCUCCCUUAUUUUUUAUGCUUUUACAAAUACACUUACACUUACAUAGUACGAUUUCUUCAGCUUACCUGAUUUGUAUUUCUUGUGUGGGGUAUUAUAUUAAUAAUAUAUUAUAAAUUGUACAAUUACAUAACUUAAUAAUUCCGAUUGGUCGCUAAAACUUAUAGUUUUUAAGCUUUUAACGUUAUUUUAUCUGGAUUAUCGCCCUUAUUAUUGUGAUUAUCGCCUUCUAAGAUAUGACGUCAUUCCCAAAAUAACGCCGCUACUCAGCAGACGACUGUCUCUCGAGACAGUCUACAUUUUCCUUUUGCUUCUUUGUAUUCAGUUUUGUUUUUGUUUUUGUGACGGAUGGAACAUGUGCCCUAUAUGUAUUGAAUACUGAAACGUUUCUUGAUUAAUUUUAGAGCAUUUAGGUUUGGACUACCUUUUUUAUACAUUUCACCGAUAUGGUUACUUGUAUAGUUGAAUUUUACUACAUAUGCUUGGUUUUGGUUUUUAUAAAGUUCUGCCCCAUGCUAACGUUUUGUAUACAAAACUUUUAAUACUGUAUCAUGGAUUUAGCUGUUUCAAGUCAUAAAAAUUCAUUGAAAAUCAAUAUACUUGUUCGUCUCAAGAUCAUAAACUCUGUGUAUCAAUCUGAAGUCAAUCGGAUAUUAACUUUGGCCUCUAGAGCGUCCACAAGAUUUUUUGAAGUGAUCAAGGGCCAUAACUUUGGCAGUAAUUAUCAGAAAUCUUUGAAAAUCAAUAGGAUUCUUCGCCUCGUGACAUCAAACACUGUUUAUAAAUUUAAAGUCAAUCAGAUAUUAACUUUAGCCUUUAGAGCAUCCACAAGGUUUUUUUGAAGCGAUCAAGGGCCAUAACUCUGGCAGUAAUUAUCGAAAAUCACUGAAAAUGAAUAGACUUCUUCAACUCAUGACCUUAAACACUGUGUGUAAAUUUAAAGUCAAUCGGAUAUUAACUUUGGCCUCUAGAGCGUCCACAAGAUUUUUUGAAGUGAUCAAGGGUCAAAACUCUGGCAGUAAUUAUCGGAAAUCGCUGAAAAUCAAUAGUCUUCUUCAUCUCAUGGCCUUAAACACUCUAUAUAAAUUUAAAGUCAAUCGGAUAUUAACUUUAGCCUCUAGAGCGUCCACAAGAUUUUUUGAAGUGAUCAAGGGCCAUAACUCUGGCUGUAAUUAUCGGAAAUCGCUAAAAAUCAAUAGGCUUCUUCGUCUCAUGACCUUAAGCACUGUGUAUAAAUUUAAAGUAAAUCGGAUAUUAACUUUGGCCUCUAGAGCGUCCACAAGAUUUUUUGGAGUGAUCAAUGGCCAUAACUCUGGCAGUAAUUAUCGGAAAU